RNAcentral lists this ribosomal RNA (825 nucleotides) under uncultured bacterium. RNAcentral's name for it is "bacterial SSU rRNA". It matches the Rfam family "Bacterial small subunit ribosomal RNA", at positions 1 to 811 of the family's 1533-position model. The record is from RNAcentral.
UAGAGUUUGAUCCUGGCUCAGAAUCAACGCUGGCGGCGUGCCUAACACAUGCAAGUCGAACGCGAAAGCCCCGCAAGGGGUAAGUAGAGUGGCAAACGGGUGAGUAACGCGUGGGUGACCUGCCUUCGAGCGGGGGAUAACGUCCCGAAAGGGACGCUAAUACCGCAUAACAUCCUGCCUUUGAAAAGGUGGAGAUCAAAGCCGGGGAUCGCAAGACCUGGCACUCGAAGAGGGGCUCGCGUCUGAUUAGCUAGUUGGUGGGGUAAUGGCCUACCAAGGCGACGAUCAGUAUCCGGCCUGAGAGGGCGGACGGACACACUGGGACUGAGACACGGCCCAGACUCCUACGGGAGGCAGCAGUGGGGAAUUGUUCGCAAUGGGCGCAAGCCUGACGACGCAACGCCGCGUGGAGGAUGAAGAUCUUCGGGUCGUAAACUCCUGUCGAAUGGGACGAACGGAUUGCGGGUUAACAGCCCGCGAUCGUGACGGUACCGUUAAAGGAAACCCCGGCUAACUCCGUGCCAGCAGCCGCGGUAAUACGGGGGGGGUAAGCGUUGUUCGGAAUUACUGGGCGUAAAGGGCUCGUAGGCGGCCAACUAAGUCAGACGUGAAAUCCCUCAGCUUAACUGGGGAACUGCGUCUGAUACUGGAUGGCUUGGAUCCGGGAGAGGGAUGCGGAAUUCCAGGUGUAGCGGUGAAAUGCGUAGAUAUCUGGAGGAACACCGGUGGCGAAGGCGGCAUCCUGGACCGGUAUUGACGCUGAGGAGCGAAAGCCAGGGGAGCAAACGGGAUUAGAUACCCCGGUAGUCCUGGCCCUAAACGAUG